AAUAGAUACCCGGGUAGUCCACGCUGUAAACGAUGUCAACUAGCUGUUGGCCUUAUGAAUGAGGUUAGUGGCGCAGCAAACGCGAUAAGUUGACCGCCUGGGGAGUACGGUCGCAAGAUUAAAACUCAAAGGAAUUGACGGGGGCCCGCACAAGCGGUGGAGCAUGUGGUUUAAUUCGAUGCAACGCGAAGAACCUUACCUACCUUGACAUACAGUGAAUUUUGCAGAGAUGUGGAAGUGCCUUCGGGAACACUGCUACAGGUGCUGCAUGGCUGUCGUCAGCUCGUGUCGUGAGACGUUGGGUUAAGUCCCGUAACGAGCGCAACCCUUAUCCUUAGUUACCAGCACGUUGAGGUGGGGACUCUAAGGAGACUGCCGGUGACAAACCGGAGGAAGCGGGGACGACGUCAAGUCAUCAUGGCCCUUACGGGUAGGCUACACACGUGCUGCAAUGGCCGGUACAGAGGGCAGCGAAGGGGCGACCUGGAGCAAAGUCUUUAAAGCUGGUCGUAGUCCGGAUUGGAGU
This 526-nucleotide ribosomal RNA is filed under the name uncultured bacterium. Its description in RNAcentral is "bacterial SSU rRNA". It matches the Rfam family "Bacterial small subunit ribosomal RNA", at positions 777 to 1304 of the family's 1533-position model. The record is from RNAcentral.